GUUCGUUUCUGUGUGUGUUACAUUUUAACAUUGCGUCGUUUGUUUUCUCUUAUUUUUGAGUGUAAAUUCACAUUGCGAUAAGACGUGUCACGGUAAUUGUUUAUCCCAAAUUCAUGUAUUUGGUUUUGAUGUUAUAUUUGUUAUUCUCGUGGGAUUUUGUCUGAUGCUUGGUCCGUUUCUGUGUGUGUUACAUUGAAGUGUUGUGUCGUUGUU
RNAcentral lists this long non-coding RNA (213 nucleotides) under Mytilus galloprovincialis (Mediterranean mussel). The record is from RNAcentral. Lineage: Eukaryota; Metazoa; Mollusca; Bivalvia; Mytilida; Mytilidae.